UUUUUCCUUGCAGGGCCCAGCUGAACAUGCUCACACAAGUCUUUGGAAGAUGUAUCAUCUUAUACAGAUAUGACUACUGGGGAAGAACAAAAGAGAAGCAUGCAUUCCCAUUUGGCUACAGACCCCAUCACUGCAUUUCAACUUUCACCCUUGUGUUCUUGUUAUCUGACCAGCCCCUGAGGCAUUUCAAGUUGCCACCCUUCGCCUAGGAAUGAUCUACAUAAUCCCUUUCAAUUCUAAAAUUUGGAUUCUGUCGUGUUUCAAAGAAAUACACGAUUUAUGCUUCACUCUGCA
Molecule: long non-coding RNA, 294 nt
Organism: Myotis davidii
Lineage: Eukaryota; Metazoa; Chordata; Mammalia; Chiroptera; Vespertilionidae
Exons: 2
Source: RefSeq, a predicted model, not a curated record